CGGCCUUGUUUGAGUUAUGCCUUCUUUGCGCGGUGUGGUGAUAGACGACAGCCAGGUUAAAUUCAUGUGCAGGAGUCGCCUUCACUUGAAAACAUCCGUCGAGACCUGCACAUUUAGUUUUGAUGGUUUUGACGCUGUCCAAAUGGCUGAGGCCGUCUCUGCGAUGCACUUUCAGCGCGUAGACUGUCGUUUUGUACGUUGGUGGUAACGACGUUUGCAGUGCCAACGCGGACCCUCAAGAUAUAUGCGACAAUAUAGGGAAGUUAGUUCUGCAACUGCAGCACGAUGUGCCCCCCGUGGUGUAUACGUCUUCAAAGUGCUGCCACGUUGCUGCAGCUCUGAAGACGCCGAUGCGGAGCGCCAGAUCAAGAAAACGCGCUUGCUGAACCGCAAGCUGACGGCUACGCUGAAACGCCUGCCGUGUGUUCGAAUCUUGAACGCCGAGCAUGUUGGUCUUCAUUCGAGAGCUGUCUCACCUUUGGAUGUACAGAGGCAUCCACUUCCACCUUGAGCACCGCACCGUGCAGCCAACGCUCCGUGGAGCGUCUCUCGCUGGCGGCUGGGGCACGCAAGCGCAGUGACAACUGUAGGUGGUGCCUUCGCCGCGUCAUCUGCUAAAGCGCAGCGGCUCCGCCUAAUCGCGCUUGCUCUUCGAUGAAGCAUCGGUUUCUCAAUUCCUCGAAAGAGCCACGACGUGCGCUCUUAGCAAUUGAUGGGUACCAUGUGCACAGAGGCCAAGGGAUCGAUCAGCUGGCCAAAAUCGUCAGUUUCUCUUGCCCGUGACUUCGGACCUGGAGUGAAGUCACAUGGACACAGCGAGCUGGGUAUCUGCUACAGGCUGCUGAAGUGCAGCCACUGCAACACAAAAGGCCACGAAGUCCUGCGAGUGCAGCAAAUUCCU
This is a long non-coding RNA of Rhipicephalus sanguineus (brown dog tick), 901 nucleotides long. RefSeq lists it as uncharacterized. Lineage: Eukaryota; Metazoa; Arthropoda; Arachnida; Ixodida; Ixodidae. The record is from RefSeq and is a predicted model, not a curated record. The transcript is spliced from 4 exons.